AGAACAUAGAGGCUCGUCUGAAGGUGUCGUUGCCGACAGAUCUUGGGGCGGCGCUGACGGACGGGGUGGUGCUCUGUCACUUGGCCAAUCACGUGCGCCCUCGGUCCGUCCCCAGCAUCCACGUCCCCUCCCCCGCCGUGCCUAAACUCACCAUGGCCAAAUGUCGACGGAACGUGGAGAACUUCCUGGAGGCGUGUCGCAGGAUCGGCGUUCCACAGAGUCAGUUGUGUCUUCCUCUGCACAUCCUGGAGGAGCGAGGGCUCCCCCAGGUGGCCGGGACCGUCAGCGCGCUGCUGGACCUGGCCCCGCCCCGGCACCCCGUCACCACAGCAACCACCGCACCCGGACCCUCUGUCAACAUCUAGACAACAGUACCAUGACCACCGCACGCGCUCAGUAGGCCUCCUGUAAGCGUGCAGCGAGGAGGAGCCGGUCAGGGUGUGAUGGAGAGACAAACAGACAGGUCCUGACCCUCCUGGGUCUUAAACCAGGACAGCCUUUAAAUGAAGACCCUGAAUCUUUAGUAGACCUCAGCCUGUCAGAGCGCAGACAGCAGAGUCCUGUUGAGUCCAUCACAGACCCUUAGUGUCCUCUCCAGAGCUCAGUUACUAAACAGGAAGUGAUGCGGGGUCCAGACCCUGAACCGGAUCACAGUCCUUCUGUCCCAGCUUCACUAACACUGAGGGGGGGGCGGUUCUCUGAGCUCUGUAACCCCCUUUACUUUAUCAGCACAGAGACGGCCUGACGAACACUACAGAGGACAGACCAGAACUCCCUGAGACCGCCUCAGAGAGGUCAGAGGUCAGGGGUCAGCUGUUCUUCAGACCUGUGCGGAGCGCUGAGCUCCUCCGUCAGAAUAACUCCCCCAGAUUAAGAUUACAGCUUUAACCUCUGACCUCCUUUAGUCUGUUUACACCUUGCUAACUCUUAAACAUCUUCACACAGAAAAACAGGAAACAUGUUUUAAUGUCUCUGAAAUAACACCUGAUGGUCUCACAGAGCUACAGGCUAUGAGCUACAAGCUACAGGCUACAAGCUACAGGCUACAGACUAUGAGCUACAAGCUAAAAGCUAUGAGCUACGAGUCUGACUGCUAUCACUGAACAUUUAUAAUCGUUCACACAGAGCGCUAACGUUCGUGUCAGUGGUUGUAGCUGAUGCUAACUGAACAUAAAUUUAAGCUAAUUUUAAAUGACACUAAUGUAGCUCCAUGCUAACGAAGCAAAUUCUGAUGUAAGUAGAACAGAGAUGAUGCUAAAACAGCUCACAGCUAUUUUUGCUAAUAUUAUAAACUUCAGUGGUGUGUAGCUAGCACCGCUAACUGUAAACAGUAGCUUAUGUAAGCUAACAUUAAGCUAAUGUUUGGCAGUUAGCACAAAAGAAGAGCUAACGGUGUCACUGCUAAUGUUAGCUAACAUAAUGAAGCUGGUUAUUUCAGAGUUUAAGCUAACACACUAAGCUGUAAUGGGCUAACAGAAACCAGUGCAGCUCACUGCUAAUGUAGCACCAAUAUUAGCUUUAUUUAUGAAGCUAGCUCAUAAAACCGUCUGUGUUUGCGUUCAGUUUAUGCUAAUGCUAACCAAAUGAAUCAUAACAACCAGGAACGCUAACGAGCUAAAACCAUGACACUAACUGUCUGCUAUAAAGCUAAUUAUCAUAAAGGUUUCAACAUUAAAACCGAUAGCUGCGAUGCUUAGCAUUACCUAGCACAAAUCUACUCAGUGAGGCUAAGCUAAUGUGGUCUUAUAUAACAGACAGGAUCAAGAUUAGCAUCGCACCGACGCUAAGAGCCACUAACGAUGGGAAUAACAGCGAACAGGUUAGUUUAAAAAUGAGCUAAUGUAGCUCAGUGCUAACGUUAGCUUAGUAAGCUAACGUUAGCAAAGGUGUUUCUGUCAUCAGCUGGUUUUUCAGCUUUUUGUCUCUUCAUCAGAUCCGAGCAUCAGGACUCGCUUCACUCCACCUGUCCCCUCUUCACUGAGACACCUGAGUCAUGUGACCCAGAGGAGGGUCACGUGACCCCUGAACUCUGACUGACAGGUGUGGUGUUUCCUCCCUCAGUGAGCGUCUCUUCUCUCGUCUUUUUUCAGCCUUCAUUUGAACUUCAUUGGUUUUGUUUGCGUUGACGGUCUCUGAGGCUAGCUUCAGGUGAUGUGACCUGGCUGCUCCUUCACCACCUGACUGAUCCUCCACCUGUGAUCAGGACCUCCGUCACAUGAAGCCGCUGCAGUGGAGAGAAACCCUGACAUGAAAACAAAGAGUGAUAUGAGUCUUCAGAUGAAGCUGGUUCAGACGAGGACUCUACCUGACAGUGAAGUUGUUUUAAACUUUAUUUAUUACAGCGGUUUCAAAGACACCCGGUCCUUCAUCAGAGUCUGUAAAUAAAGAAGAAAACCUGUACGAGAUAAGAACCUGAUCUAAAGUCCUCCACAUGUAAUCAUGAUGAGAGUCAGUCUGAAACCAAACAGAAGGCCACUCCCCCGACCGCUGAGAUAAUAAACAUCAUGUUUUCAUUUCUCUUUUUCUAAAUGACAUCAAUUAAAAACAGACCACAUGUUUUAAUCA
Molecule: long non-coding RNA, 2565 nt
Organism: Notolabrus celidotus (New Zealand spotty)
Lineage: Eukaryota; Metazoa; Chordata; Actinopteri; Labriformes; Labridae
Exons: 3
Source: RefSeq, a predicted model, not a curated record